AUGAUGGACGGGGCUGGAGCGCUACUCCGGAGUCAUCAGAUGGAGCCGCCGCCGCCGUUCUUAGCAAUUUCGGUCACCGUGGCGACCUUGGCUGCUGGCGUAUUCGCCAUAUAUUUCUACGCACCUUCAUGGCGCGUACGUAGGGUCCCCGGUCCGAUGGCUUACCCGCUGAUCGGCCACCUGCCGUUGCUCGCCAAGCACGGCCCGGCGGUGUUCACGGUCCUCAGAGAGAGAUUCGGGCCCAUCUACAGGUUUCACAUGGGUAGACAGCCGCUAGUUAUGAUUGCAGACCCCGAGCUGUGCAGAGAGGUGGGAAUCCAGAAGUUCAAGAGCAUCCCCAACAGAAGCGUCCCUAGUCCUAUUCGCAGCUCGCCUAUUCACAACAAAGGCCUCUUCUUUACGAGGGACUCGAGAUGGCAAUCCAUGAGAAAUGUCAUCAUCUCCAUCUACCAGCCGUCGCACGUGGCAAGCCUCAUCCCUUCCUUCCAACCGUACAUUGAACGGGCGGGGCGCCUCCUCCGGCAUGGCGAGGAGAUCACCUUCUCCGACCUCUCGUUAAAGCUCUUCAGCGACACUAUUGGUCAGGUCGCCUUCGGUGUGGACUUCGGCCUCACCAAAGGCACCACCUCUCCACCACCGAAACACCAUGUCGAUUGUGCUGAGACUGUCGACAUGACAACAGAUUUCAUCAAAAAGCACUUCUACGCCACGACGUCCCUCAAGAUGGACCUCUCAGGCUCCGUGUCCAUCAUCCUUGGCAUGCUCGUGCCGUUGCUACAGGAACCUGUGAGGCAGCUCCUGCUGCGUGUGCCGGGCUCAAAAGACCGCCGGAUGGAAGAGACCAACUUGGCCAUGAGUGGGCUACUGGACAACAUUGUGGCUGAGCGGGCGGCACAAGCUGACAGGGGGGAGAAGAACUUCCUGUCUGUGAUGCUUAAUGCAAGCGAGAGCACAGACGCAAUGAGGAAGUUGUUGACGCAAGAUUACGUGAGCGCACUUACAUACGAGCACUUACUUGCAGGGUCGGUGACCAUGUCCUUCACGCUGUCAAGCCUGGUGUACCUUGUGGCGAUGUACCCCGAGGUAGAGGAGAAGCUACUCAAGGAGAUCGACGCUUUUGGGCCCAAAGAUGUGGUACCCAAUGUUGAGGACAUCCAGACCAAAUUCCCUUACAUGGAGCAGGUUUUGAAAGAGACGAUGAGAUUCUACACUGUGUCCCCGCUGAUUGCUAGGGAGGCAUCCGAGGAUGUCCAGAUUGGAGGCUAUGUCCUUCCUAAGGGUACUUGGGUGUGGCUAGCACCCGGCGUACUAGCAAAAGACCCAAAGCAGUUCCCAGACCCCGACGUGUUUUGGCCUGAGCGGUUUGACCCUGAGAGCGAGGAAUGCAAGCGAAGGCAUCCCUAUGCAUUCAUUCCCUUUGGUAUUGGACCCCGGGCAUGCAUUGGGCAGAAGUUCGCAUUCCAGCAGCUCAAGCUCGUCAUCCUCCACCUCUACCGCCACCACGUCUUCAGGCACUCGCCCAACAUGGAAUUCCCGCUGCAGUUCCAGUAUUCCAUCUUGGUCAACUUCAAGCAUGGUGUCAAGCUCCAGGUCAUCGAAAGGAAGACUUGA
Molecule: ribosomal RNA, 1611 nt
Filed under: Triticum aestivum (bread wheat)
Lineage: Eukaryota; Viridiplantae; Streptophyta; Magnoliopsida; Poales; Poaceae
Description: partial small subunit ribosomal RNA
Source: RNAcentral